AGAGUUUGAUCCUGGCUCAGGACGAACGCUGGCGGCGUGCUUAACACAUGCAAGUCGAACGGAAAGGUCUCUUCGGAGAUACUCGAGUGGCGAACGGGUGAGUAACACGUGGGUGAUCUGCCCUGCACUUCGGGAUAAGCCUGGGAAACUGGGUCUAAUACCGGAUAGGACCACGGGAUGCAUGUCUUGUGGUGGAAAGCGCUUUAGCGGUGUGGGAUGAGCCCGCGGCCUAUCAGCUUGUUGGUGGGGUGACGGCCUACCAAGGCGACGACGGGUAGCCGGCCUGAGAGGGUGUCCGGCCACACUGGGACUGAGAUACGGCCCAGACUCCUACGGGAGGCAGCAGUGGGGAAUAUUGCACAAUGGGCGCAAGCCUGAUGCAGCGACGCCGCGUGGGGGAUGACGGCCUUCGGGUUGUAAACCUCUUUCACCAUCGACGAAGGUCCGGGUUCUCUCGGAUUGACGGUAGGUGGAGAAGAAGCACCGGCCAACUACGUGCCAGCAGCCGCGGUAAUACGUAGGGUGCGAGCGUUGUCCGGAAUUACUGGGCGUAAAGAGCUCGUAGGUGGUUUGUCGCGUUGUUCGUGAAAUCUCACGGCUUAACUGUGAGCGUGCGGGCGAUACGGGCAGACUAGAGUACUGCAGGGGAGACUGGAAUUCCUGGUGUAGCGGUGGAAUGCGCAGAUAUCAGGAGGAACACCGGUGGCGAAGGCGGGUCUCUGGGCAGUAACUGACGCUGAGGAGCGAAAGCGUGGGGAGCGAACAGGAUUAGAUACCCUGGUAGUCCACGCCGUAAACGGUGGGUACUAGGUGUGGGUUUCCUUCCUUGGGAUCCGUGCCGUAGCUAACGCAUUAAGUACCCCGCCUGGGGAGUACGGCCGCAAGGCUAAAACUCAAAGGAAUUGACGGGGGCCCGCACAAGCGGCGGAGCAUGUGGAUUAAUUCGAUGCAACGCGAAGAACCUUACCUGGGUUUGACAUGCACAGGACG
Molecule: ribosomal RNA, 990 nt
Filed under: Mycobacterium tuberculosis
Lineage: Bacteria; Bacillati; Actinomycetota; Actinomycetes; Mycobacteriales; Mycobacteriaceae
Description: bacterial SSU rRNA
Rfam family: Bacterial small subunit ribosomal RNA
Source: RNAcentral